UACAGAGGUCUCAAGCGUUGUUCGGAUUCAUUGGGCGUAAAGGGUGCGUAGGUGGCGGGGUAAGUCAGGUGUGAAAUUUCGGAGCUUAACUCCGAAACUGCAUUUGAUACUGCCUUGCUUGAGGACUGGAGAGGAGACUGGAAUUCACGGUGUAGCAGUGAAAUGCGUAGAGAUCGUGAGGAAGACCAGUGGCGAAGGCGGGUCUCUGGACAGUUCCUGACACUGGGGCACGAAGGCCAGGGGAGCAAACGGG
Molecule: ribosomal RNA, 253 nt
Filed under: uncultured bacterium
Lineage: Bacteria
Description: partial 16S ribosomal RNA
Rfam family: Bacterial small subunit ribosomal RNA
Source: RNAcentral